This 1182-nucleotide long non-coding RNA is filed under the name Selaginella moellendorffii. RNAcentral describes it as "long non-coding RNA (SMOE_LNC000370)". Lineage: Eukaryota; Viridiplantae; Streptophyta; Lycopodiopsida; Selaginellales; Selaginellaceae. The record is from RNAcentral.
CGCGAGUUGCCGCGAAGCCUGAGGAUCGCAUCACGGAAUCCAAGCACGCAAUCACUGUCGCGUCCUCGUCCAUCAUAGCUGUCGUCGUAGCUGCGCAGGCUAGGGGGGCAACAGCCACGAUCGUCUCCUCCACUAGUCUCCUCAAGAUGAUGCGAAGAACCCUAGAUUCUGGACUACUACGAUGACUACGAGGAGGAAGAUUACGCCCACAGCAGCUCAGCCUCAGCUCCGGGUAAGCGAUUCAUCGAUGAGCGCGGGAUUUAUCUCCAGAUCUCUUCCAGGAACAGCGCCGCAGCAACCAAUCUGGGCUUGCCCCAUCUGUACAUACGAUAAUCUGGAGGAACAUCAGUCGUGUGAGAUGUGUGGAGUGGUGCGAGACUCUUCACGCUUCCGGCUCUAAAUCACUCUAAAACUUGCUGAGCAAAACGAUUUGAAUCCAUCAAUGCAGUUGGAAGUGCGCGUCCAAGGCCUGAGCCUUCGCAGCUUGCAACGUCCUUGUUUGCUCCUCUCCCUCCUCUGGCACUCCAGAUUAAGCAUUAAGAUACGCGGGGCUCUUGGAGAUGCGGUUCCUUCCUUCUGCCGGUAGAGCAGCUACACCGCAGCUCUGAGCAAUCCAGGGUGGCCAUAGCCAUCCAGAAACACCUGCCUGCCAAGCUUGUUGUCCCAAAGAACCAAGUAGUCGUGCUCCCGCCGGAGGUUGAGCCCCCUAAUCGUCAGAACGAUGUCCCUGUGCUCGUGAUCCACAUAGAUGAGAUACGGUGGCACAAUCCUCUCCAGGUCGCUCGUCUUCUUCACCACAUUCUCGAGCGAGAUUUUGUAGCGCCACCGUCCAGGAGCUCCUAUCGGUCGCCCCGAUGUAGAUGCAUCGCUUGUACGCCCAGCGCGUAGCAGCGGCACUCCAAUCGCCACGGACAUCGCCGGGAAGAAAUUUACCUCGUCCUCCUCUCUAGCGCUUGUUCUGCCUCAACCAUCUCAAGCACGGCGGCUAGAUGGCGACAAAAAAGGCAUUCCUGUGUUUGUCCAGUUUGGUCGAAUCCUAGGCUAACUGAGUGGUGACGUUCGCAGAAGGAGGAUGGGAGGAGAAAAGCUAUGGGCGGUGAACAUGAUCUGUUUUGGUAUUUGUAGUUUCUUUGCUUGCGUCCAUGAAUGGAGAGUGGGUCCUUGUUUGACCGCUACAAGAUA